Molecule: transfer RNA, 77 nt
Filed under: SAR202 cluster bacterium Casp-Chloro-G3
Lineage: Bacteria; Bacillati; Chloroflexota; Dehalococcoidia
Also listed under: 1 other name
Description: tRNA-Lys
Rfam family: tRNA
About the family: Transfer RNA (tRNA) molecules are approximately 80 nucleotides in length.
Source: RNAcentral
GGCCCGCUAGCUCAAUUGGCUAGAGCAACGGACUCUUAAUCCGUAGGUUCUCGGUUCGAUCCCGAGGCGGGUCACCA